ACAAUUCACACUCAAUUGACUUCUGGCCAAUAAUGUUUAGGUCGCUUCGUCUCUCUCCUUCGACUUACCUUCCAGUCUCUUACGCUUAAUUUUAUCCAUCCAUACAACUACUACUACCCAAAAAUGUGACACACCUGCAUGUUAUCCCACUUCCACCUGUCUUUUCUCCACUCAAUCGGCUUAUUCGUUAUAUAUUGACACACUUUGUUCUCGGAAUCCAUCCCGCAUACCCUAGACUGGCUUUGGCGCCUCAAUUUGCCUAAUAAAAUAAAUAUGUUUCUCUGGCUCUUUUGUCUUCACAGACUACCCACAACCUCCUGUUUACACCAUAAAACCAUUACUCUGAAACCUAAUCGUCACUCCUGCUUGCUCGAGGCUAAGACUAUCCACCACCUGUUCUUCACUUGCCCUAACAUUUGCAACGUCUGGCGCUACUUUAAUAUUGCAGCCCCAACAUCCUCCACAAAUCUUUUUACUCGUUUACAUCACCACUGUAAACCUUCUCAGGGCACGGACCCUUAUACGGGUAUUGAUGUUCCUGCCUAUCUACUAGUUCCUUUCACACUUUGGCAUGCUUGGCUUAAUCGUAACAACAACAAAUUAACCAUCUCCACAACCAUCUAUCACCCACUUGUCUUCUCUCGUCACUCAUCGAAUAUCGCUUCUUAUCUCCCACGUUCUUUCGCUCGUCUUCACUGCCUCUUCACAUUGCAUAUAUUAAAUGGCAUCCCUCUAACGUCAAUUUCUACAAAUUAAAUACGGAUAGAGCCUUUGAUCCUGACACUUUCCAUGCUGAUACCGAUGGAGUCUUCCGGGACCAUCAUGGUCAUUGGAUCUUAGGAGCUUGCUCGGGAAGAUGGACCUUCAGGAUCCUCCGCAAGUCUUCCAGGAGGGCAGUAUGGUUGCUGACUCCUUGGCAAAUCAUGGACUGCACUUAGUGUUAGAAAAAUAUUAUUUUCUAUUUAAUAUCUCAAAAAUAAAAAGAAUAUUUUUAAUGUUCUUGUUGACUUUAAUGCAAAAGACUUGAUUCUAUUUUAUUAGCCUUAAUGGCAGAAUUCAUGUUGAAUAAAUUUGCCAUUACCAAACGGUAUUAUUGUAUUUAAUUUGGUCACUUGAUGACACUUUAUGGAAUAUAAUUAUUCUUGAAUU
Long non-coding RNA from Lycium barbarum (goji berry), 1149 nucleotides. RefSeq lists it as uncharacterized. The record is from RefSeq and is a predicted model, not a curated record. Lineage: Eukaryota; Viridiplantae; Streptophyta; Magnoliopsida; Solanales; Solanaceae. The transcript has 2 exons.